AUCACGUCUCAGCCUUUUGUCCAAGAUCAAACAUAGGUAUCUGCUCUUCUCACUUUAAUAUCUGAUACACCCUCUACCCGAGGACAACAUAUUAAAUGGAUUUUUGAGGAGGGAGAUGGAAUAGGAGCUUGCUCCGACCACGCUGUAGGUACAUCGACCCGGUCUUGCAGUAGCUCCGGAACAGUGCGCCCCCG
Pteronotus mesoamericanus is the source of this 194-nucleotide small nuclear RNA. RefSeq annotates it as U2 spliceosomal RNA. The transcript has a single exon. Lineage: Eukaryota; Metazoa; Chordata; Mammalia; Chiroptera; Mormoopidae. The record is from RefSeq and is a predicted model, not a curated record.